This 466-nucleotide ribosomal RNA is filed under the name uncultured bacterium. RNAcentral describes it as "partial 16S ribosomal RNA". It matches the Rfam family "Bacterial small subunit ribosomal RNA", at positions 28 to 507 of the family's 1533-position model. The record is from RNAcentral.
GAUGAACGCUGGCGGCGUGCUUAACACAUGCAAGUCGAACGGAAAGGCCCAAGCUUGCUUGGGUACUCGAGUGGCGAACGGGUGAGUAACACGUGGGUGAUCUGCCCUGCACUUCGGGAUAAGCCUGGGAAACUGGGUCUAAUACCGGAUAGGACCACAUUUUGGAUGGUGUGGUGGAAAGUUUUUCGGUGUGGGAUGAGCUCGCGGCCUAUCAGCUUGUUGGUGGGGUAAUGGCCUACCAAGGCGUCGACGGGUAGCCGGCCUGAGAGGGUGUACGGCCACAUUGGGACUGAGAUACGGCCCAGACUCCGACGGGAGGCAGCAGUGGGGAAUAUUGAACAAUGGGCGCAAGCCUGAUGCAGCGACGCCGCGUGGGGGAUGACGGCCUUCGGGUUGUAAACUCCUUUCGCUAGGAACGAAGCGUUAUGUGACGGUACCUGGAGAAGAAGCACCGGCUAACUACGUG